RNAcentral lists this ribosomal RNA (253 nucleotides) under uncultured bacterium. Its description in RNAcentral is "partial 16S ribosomal RNA". It matches the Rfam family "Bacterial small subunit ribosomal RNA", at positions 524 to 776 of the family's 1533-position model. The record is from RNAcentral.
UACGUAGGUGGCAAGCGUUGUCCGGAAUUAUUGGGCGUAAAGGGUGCGUAGGUGGCUUGAAAAGUUUGAUGUGAAAGCUCAGGGCUUAACCCUGAAAUGGCAUUGAAUACUGUCGAGCUGGAGGUUUGGAGGGGGGACUGGAAUUCUUGGUGUAGCAGUGAAAUGCGUAGAUAUCAAGAGGAACACCGGUGGCGAAGGCGGCCACCUGGACGGUCACUGACGCUGAGACGCGAAAGCGUGGGGAGCAAACAGG